Molecule: long non-coding RNA, 2450 nt
Filed under: Piliocolobus tephrosceles (Ugandan red Colobus)
Lineage: Eukaryota; Metazoa; Chordata; Mammalia; Primates; Cercopithecidae
Description: lncRNA (ENSPTEG00000002143.1)
Source: RNAcentral
AGCAAGCAAGAAAGAAAGACAAAAUGGAUAGUAAAUAUAAAAAUGAUAGGAUAAAUGACUAUGAUUAUCAAAUGGACGAACAAAAAGUUGUACAGUGGGAUGACAAAUGUUUUGAACAUGAAUUUUUCAAUUGGGAUAUAUUUAAAAAGUACCAUAAUAGCAAUGAAUUUUCAGAAUUAGAAUCGAACAUAAAAGUAACUUAUAAAUCAAAUAAGAAUGUAACUUAUCGAAAGAGUUCUUCUGUAAUAAUAUCAGAUGAUAUAACAAGUACAUUAAAUUACAAUCUGAAUUCAUCAAGUUUUCAUGAUGUGUCAAAUUUAUUUCAAAAAAUUGUAUUGAGGUGGAAUUACUUUACAAGUUUUAGAGAUGAGGAUGGGCUAGGUUUAGAAUAUUUGAUAAAAAGAUUAAAAUUAAAAAUCGUAUUAACUAAAUUACCUACAGAGUUUCAAAAUUAUAUCCAAUAUUUUAAUUCAUUUUAUCCUUUAUUCAUUACAGAAAUUUUACAAAUAAUAAACCGGAAAAUAAAUCAAGAAGAAAAUCCAACAGAACAUAUUAUAUACAGAAUAGAAAGCAUAGAAAAUAGAAACGAAGAAUAUAAAAUAAUUAUUCCUAAAUAUGCAAUAUGUAUACCUUACGAUAUACAACAAGGAGAUUUAGUGAUGUUAAAAUUUGUAUUUAAUAAUUCAUUAGCUAAUGAACCUCCAAAUGUACGUACUCCUCUAAAAUGUGCAUUUAUCGCAUAUAAAAUAUUUUUACAAGAACUAUACAGUAUAUUAAAUGAAAAUUAUAUGGAUAAGACAAAAAAAAAAGAAAAAGAAAAAGAAAAGGAAAAAGAAAAUGAUGAAUGUAAAAAUAAACAAAAAACAGAAAUUGAUUUAAAUAUUGAAUUUUAUGGUAAUAGUAAUUAUGAUCUAGGUUAUAAAUAUAAUUAUAGAGAUGUUUUAAAUCUUUUAAAACGUCAAAAAGAAUCACAUUAUUCUUUAGACGAAACAAUAAUAAAUGAAAAAUUACAUAUCUUAGAAAAGUGUGAGCUUCAAAAAAAGUUUAACAAGCCACAUUCAACUGACAUAACGUUAAACAUGAGUAAAAACAGUAUUACUGAUUUGAAUGGUGACCAUCAUAACACAAAUCGUAUGUGUAAAUUUAUAUCCAGGACAUUUACUGCAGAUUAUAAUAAAAAAAAUAAAUUAUGUUUUUGUAACAUUUUAAAUGAUGAAAAUGACCACGUUUAUAUGGCUAGAAAAUAUAGCGUUAGACAUGUUUUAGGAGUUGUGCAUGAAAUUAACGAAAAUAUACAUAUAACUGUUAAUUUAAAGUACAACAGUUUUGAUGCAAUUGAUGAAGUUAGAAAACAAAUCGUUUCUAACAUAUUAAAUACUGUUAGUAUUAAUAAUUAUAUUAUAUUAUUAACGAAGAUAAUAAAUUUAACAGUCUAUUGUCGUACAUUUCAAUGUUUAUAUGAUUUUAGAUUUACUCGUGCCUAUUGUGAAAUAAUGAAAAAAAAAAUACCUUCUUCGCUUAAUAAAAGUAGUAGUAAUAAUUAUGUUUCAACGGGAAAUACAACUAAUAAAAAUAAAAAUGCAAAAUGGUUAGAAAAAGUGAAAGGAAAAUUAAAAGGAGAUGAUAUGCAAGAGUGUCAGUUAAAAAAACAAAUCAGUGACUAUUUAAACCUUCUAAAUACGAAAAAGGAGAGUUCAAAAAUAGUAAACCAAACAAACAGUUGUGAUACAAUCAAUUAUAAAAAUAAAGUUCCAAUAAACAGUAGUAGUGGUGGUAGUAGUGGUGGUAGUGGUGGUGGUAGUGGUGGUAGUAGUGGUAGUAGUGGUAGUAGUGGUAGUGGUGGUAGUGGCACUACUGUCGACCAUGAUAAUGAAAAUUUAAAGUAUUCAGGGUUUAAAUAUAUACCUAACGGAUUAAGAAAACAACUUUACGAAAGAUAUAAUGGUUACCAACUUAACGCUAUUAAUAAUUGUCUUAUAAAUAAUGGUAUAAUUUUAAUCCAUGGCCCACCAGGUACGGGAAAAACUUCAACUAUUUUGGGUAUAGUUAGCGCACUGCUUUAUUAUGACGAUAGUUCCAGUAAAAAAAUUAAAAAUAGAUCUACUAAUAGAAGUGCAUAUUCUUAUUUAAAUGAUAAAAGGGAAUGUGACUUGAAUAUGUUUAAUAAUGUUAGUCCUUAUGUAAGGAGUUUUUCAAAUACUAAUUCUGCUAUUAAUACUGGGGUGAAUUCUAAUCAAGAUAACAGUUUUAGUGCUAUCGAAUAUGAAGACUGUUUUCAUUAUAUAAAUAUGAACUAUGAAAAUAUAAGCAAUGUUUUUAAAAUAAAAAAAAAAAAAAAAGAAGAUAAAUCAUUUGCUAAUUUACAUGAAAUGCAUUUAAGUAUUAUGCACGCUUCGCACAGGUUGUCGGUUAUUAAAAAGGAUAUUGAUGAAGAACAUACAACAAUUAAC